This 333-nucleotide unclassified non-coding RNA is filed under the name soil metagenome. RNAcentral's name for it is "partial contains 5.8S ribosomal RNA, internal transcribed spacer 2, and large subunit ribosomal RNA". The stretch from base 1 to 120 matches the Rfam family "5.8S ribosomal RNA", at positions 35 to 154 of the family's 154-position model. The record is from RNAcentral.
GAUGAAGAACGUAGCGAAAUGCGAUACGUAAUGUGAAUUGCAGAAUUCAGUGAAUCAUCGAAUCUUUGAACGCACAUUGCGCCCGCCAGUAUUCUGGCGGGCAUGCCUGUUCGAGCGUCAUUUCAACCAUCAAGCCCUGUGCUUGUGUUGGGGGCCUGCGGCUGCCGCAGCCCCCUAAAAGCAGUGGCGGGCUCGCUGUCAUUCCGAGCGCAGUAACUUAUCUCGCUUUGGUCGUGGCGGUGGGCACCUGCCGUAAAACACUCUUUUUCACAAGGUUGACCUCGGAUCAGGUAGGAAUACCCGCUGAACUUAAGCAUAUCAAUAAGCGGAGGA